CUACGGGAUGCUGCAGUCGAGAAUUUUUCACAAUGGGGGAAACCCUGAUGGAGCGACGCCGCGUGGGGGAUGAAGGGCUUCGGUUCGUAAACCCCUGUCAUUGGCGAACAAGUGUUGCGUCCUAAUACGGCGCAACUUGAUAGUAGCCGAAGAGGAAGGGACGGCUAACACUGUGCCAGCAGCCGCGGUAAUACAGAGGUCCCGAGCGUUGUUCGGAUUCACUGGGCGUAAAGGGUGCGUAGGUGGUUGGUUAAGUUUGAGGUGAAAGCUCCGAGCUCAACUCGGAAAAUGCCUUGAAGACUAUCUGACUAGAGGAUUGGAGGGGAGAUGGGAAUUCUCGGUGUAGCAGUGAAAUGCGUAGAUAUCGAGAGGAACACCAGUGGCGAAGGCGAAUCUCUGGACAAUUCCUGACACUGAGGCACGAAAGCCAAGGGAGCAAACGGGAUUAGAUACCCGAGUAGUC
RNAcentral lists this ribosomal RNA (463 nucleotides) under uncultured bacterium. RNAcentral's name for it is "partial 16S ribosomal RNA". It matches the Rfam family "Bacterial small subunit ribosomal RNA", at positions 339 to 795 of the family's 1533-position model. The record is from RNAcentral.